AAACAAGAAACUCCCAGUGAUAUGGUUUCGGCCCAUAUAAAGGCACACACCUGUGCCCUUGUUUU
Molecule: transfer RNA, 65 nt
Filed under: Sinosolenaia oleivora
Lineage: Eukaryota; Metazoa; Mollusca; Bivalvia; Unionida; Unionidae
Description: tRNA-Arg
Source: RNAcentral